CGGGAUUAAAACCACGACCUACCCUUGUAGGAUUUCAACUUCACUAAUGAGCAAACUUCAGAUUACAAACUAUUGUAACCUAAAAAUUAACCUCUUAAUCCCUCACUAACUUGUAACAACUCUCUUACAAGCCUCUUUGUAAUAACUCUAUUAUAAAGCUUACAACUCGACUAACUCUAGCCAAGACACAAACACAAGGUUUAUGAUUUUACAAAGAUUUUCUACACAAUGCUUCUAACUAAGCUAAGUAGGAAUUACAAGUAAAGUGUUUUAAUAAAGGUGCAACACAACUUAGGACAUGUAAUGACUCAAUACAGGAAACUGGUCCUUCGUUACGUUGUUCUUUGUUCUUGAUGCCCUUGAGAAUCACUUGCAAGAUUGACACAAACUUGAGAGAAUGCUUGAUCGAUUCUUGAAUGUGCAAGUGUUUGUUUACUUUUGCUUGAUGUUAAUAAUUUAUUUGUGACAUCACUUGAAUGAUGCAAGCAAGUUAGGUAAAGGGCAUUCCCCAUAAAGUUGACUGUUGCACUGUUUUUGCACUGUUUCGUGUGCAAGCAGCAACUUUACAUCUGUGGAGAGUUGACUUGUACAGUCACCAAGGGAACUGGUGGUCAUCUGUUCCCUCUGUUAUUUCUUUGACUCUGAAGAGUUGAACCACGUCCCUGACUUGAGACUUGUUGUUCUUUAAGUACUUGAAGAUGUGUAACAAUUUGCUUAUCUGGUUCUUAUCAUUAAGUUUGUUAGAUUAUCAAAACAUAACAGGGAUACAUAUAACCUAUCAACACCCUUUUCUCCCAAAGUUACGGGGUCAUUCUGCCGAGUUCCUUCGACAUGUUUCCAUCCGUAUUUCAAAACCAUCAAUCUUGACUAACACAACUUCAUCUGUCUUUCCUUGUAAGAAGAAGUUCUCACUGCACAGUCAUAUAUAAGUAUCCAAUUUUACAAAUCACGCUAGAAGAACCUAAUAUCUCCAUUUUAAACCUUGGGUGAGAUAAUAUCAUGGCAGACAGCUAGGAUGAUUUGCUUUUCUUCAUUUUAUUCCUAGAGAUUGAGGUAGGACAAUUUCUACAAGGUAAAUACACAACACAAAAGACAAAGAUCAACAAAGUGACAUGAUAUUCAUACUUUCAAGAGUCCACGCUCCGGCUCCUCCCGAGAGUCAUGAAAAUAAAUGAGUCAGAGCCAAAUUAGGUGCCACACUUGAAUCAAUUGUCAGUACAUGUAAAUUCUCAUUUGGCUAUUUUCACUAUCAUUAAAUGUUAAAAAGGCUUAAUCUUUAUCACAAUCAUGUAUUCAUAACAAACAAAAACAAAUAAAUCACUUCUCAAUCUCAAAUUAGUUGGAGUAGUCUAUUUAAAUCAGCAAUUGAGGUGAAUUAAUUUGUCUUUAAUCGAAUUAAAGGUUCUCUAAGCUAGACCAUACGAACAAAAUAAGGUAGAAUGCAUCUUUAUACAUUGGCGUAAAAUGAGCAGAAGAGAAUAUGAAUACUUACAGCAAUGGCAGUACAAGCAGCACAUUUAUCUUCGAUACAGAGAGUAGCUGGUAAAACAGAUAAGAAAGCAAUAGCAACAAACAAAAUCGAUCUCAUAUAUGGCUUAAUCGCCAUUUGCGUUCUCUCCUUUUUCGUGUGAAUUUUUCCCGGUGCCGGAGAAUCGAAGGAGCUACGGCGGAGAAGUAUUUGUUUUUAAUGGGAACGGCGGUCCACGUCAUCGGAGUACCUUUGGUGUCAUCAUCCAAUAAUAAUGAGCCACGUUUGCCUUUUUCUUAUUUGAUUGCCACGUCGGAUUGAACUCGUUGCCAU
This 1801-nucleotide long non-coding RNA is filed under the name Nicotiana tabacum (common tobacco). Its description in RNAcentral is "long non-coding RNA (NTAB_LNC001120)". Lineage: Eukaryota; Viridiplantae; Streptophyta; Magnoliopsida; Solanales; Solanaceae. The record is from RNAcentral.